RNAcentral lists this ribosomal RNA (253 nucleotides) under uncultured bacterium. RNAcentral describes it as "partial 16S ribosomal RNA". It matches the Rfam family "Bacterial small subunit ribosomal RNA", at positions 524 to 776 of the family's 1533-position model. The record is from RNAcentral.
UACAGAGGUCUCAAGCGUUGUUCGGAUUCAUUGGGCGUAAAGGGUGCGUAGGUGGCGCGGUAAGUCGGGUGUGAAAUUUCGGAGCUUAACUCCGAAACUGCAUUCGAUACUGCCGUGCUUGAGGACUGGAGAGGACACUGGAAUUUACGGUGUAGCAGUGAAAUGCGUAGAGAUCGUAAGGAAGACCAGUGGCGAAGGCGGGUCUCUGGACAGUUCCUGACACUGAGGCACGAAGGCCAGGGGAGCAAACGGG